RNA transcript from Camelina sativa (false flax), 1609 nucleotides. RefSeq lists it as uncharacterized. The record is from RefSeq and is a predicted model, not a curated record. Lineage: Eukaryota; Viridiplantae; Streptophyta; Magnoliopsida; Brassicales; Brassicaceae.
AAAAAAAAAAAAAAAAAAAAAAAACAGAUUCAAACAUUUCUUCUGGCCUUCUCCAGAACAAACCAAAUUCAAUCAAAUCCUCUUUUUCUUCCUUCAUCUCCACACAAAAUCCCAAAUCCCUAAGAGAAUCGUUUAAUCCGAUCUCAUCAAAAUGGAAGAAGAAGUUAAAAAAAUCAUAGAUGAGGUCAAAGAGCUUCACGAUUCAUCCGCUUCUUUCAUCUCACGUUCCUCUCAACAAGAGCUUUCUCUCCGUCAACAAGCCUCCGCCGUCGAUUCAUCAAUCCGUCGUCUCCACUCUUCACUCCUCUCCAACAAAAACCUCGACCCUAAGCUCGUCGACAAGCCUGAAGAGGAUCUGCAUCGUGCUCGGUGCAUGCUUGUUGAUGGAGAGACAUCUUCGUUUCUCCCAUCUAAACCUCAAGGACGGUUUUUGAGAAUGUUUUUGGGACCUGUGAAUGUUAGAGCUUUGCGUAAAGAUGUUCAGCUUAAAGUUAAAGAAGAAUACAAUAGCUACAGAGACAAGACUGCUCUUCUUUUUCUUUUUUUCCCUGCAACACUUUUAAUCCUUAGAUCUUAUUAUUGGGGUGGUUGUUUGCCUGCGUUUCCUGUCCAGCUUUACGAGGCUUGGCUGUUGUUUCUCUAUGCUGGGUUGGCUAUGCGAGAGAACAUAUUAAGAGUCAAUGGGAGUGAUAUCCGUCCAUGGUGGCUAUAUCAUCACUAUUGUGCCAUGCUUAUGGCCCUUGUCAGCCUCACAUGGGAAAUCAAAGGUCAACCAAACUGUGUCCAGAAACAAAGAGGAGUCCAUCUCUUCCUUCAAUGGGCUAUGAUGCAAGGUGUCGCCAUGCUUCUGCAAAACAGAUACCAACGCCAAAGACUAUACACUCGCAUUGCAUUAGGAAAGGCUAAGAGAAUGGAUGUCGUAUGGGGAGAAACAGCUGGCGUUGAUGGGCAACUAUGGCUGUUAUGUCCUAUACUUUUCCUUUUACAGGUGUUUGAAGCAUACGUUGGACUGCAGUUGCUAAGAAAAACAGUAACUGGAGUUGUUACUGAAUGGCAGGUGAUGGUGUGUGGCAUUCUUCUGGUAGUGAUGGCAGUUGGGAACUUCAUAAACACAGUAGAAACACUAAUGGCAAAGUCAAGAGUUAAGGCAAAGAUGAAGCGAAGUAAAAGCAAAGCAGAGCUUAAUUAGACUUCACAGGUGUACUUUGAGACGAGUCUUUUGAGUCUUUACCUUCUGAUUCCUUCUCAUGUUGGGCACUCCAAGGCUAAGUUUAGGAGGUAUAUGUGAGCGACCUGAGCUCAUUCUCCCUCGCUUCAAGGUAAUAUUUCAGCUGAUUUCUCUCUGCUGGUGUCAUUAAGCAACCUGAGCUCAUUCUCCCUCGCCUUAAGAGAUGCUUCCAUCAGCUCAGCUUCCUUUCUCCUUGUCUCGGUCUCCGCAGUUUGCUUCAGGUCAAUCUUUAACAUUCAUCUCAAAAGCAAAAGACUUCUCAUAUGGGGAAAGCAAAGCAACCUCCUUUUCCCUCGCUUCAAGCUCAGCCAUUAACCCUUGAUGUUUCUGCAUUUCCCCCAUGAUACCUCCAAUAUUUACUCUUUUUUUUUUUUACUAGUA